UACGUAGGUGGCAAGCGUUGUCCGGAUUUAUUGGGUUUAAAGGGUGCGUAGGCGGCCCUGUAAGUCAGUGGUGAAAUACUCCAGCUUAACUGGAGGGGUGCCAUUGAUACUGCAGGGCUUGAGUGGAGUCGAGGUAGGCGGAAUUGACGGUGUAGCGGUGAAAUGCUUAGAUAUCGUCAAGAACACCGAUAGUGUAGACAGCUUACUAGGCUACAACUGACGCUGAGGCACGAAAGUGUGGGGAUCAAACAGG
RNAcentral lists this ribosomal RNA (253 nucleotides) under uncultured bacterium. Its description in RNAcentral is "partial 16S ribosomal RNA". It matches the Rfam family "Bacterial small subunit ribosomal RNA", at positions 524 to 776 of the family's 1533-position model. The record is from RNAcentral.